This is a long non-coding RNA of Amphiprion ocellaris (clown anemonefish), 1578 nucleotides long. RefSeq lists it as uncharacterized. The record is from RefSeq and is a predicted model, not a curated record. NCBI's taxonomy places the organism in Eukaryota, Metazoa, Chordata, Actinopteri, Pomacentridae. The transcript has 3 exons.
CUCUGCAGACUCUGUAGCGCCUCCUGCUGUCCAAACACUGAGUGUGAGCUCUGACAGCUGCUAUCUGCUGUGUGCUGUGGACAAAGCUGCAGAGAUCACACUGUGGUGGUACAAAGAUGAGGAGGUGGUGAACCAGAGCAGCUCUGCUGGAUCUCUGCCUCUCACUGUGACCAAGCAGGACCUCAGCUCCUCUUACAGAUGUGUGGCUGGAAACCCUGCAGAAGAAAGGACUCUUCUAGUGGAUCUUCAGACGUUCUGUGGCAAGAACUUCACUGCAGUGCAGAACAACACAGAAUCAAGACAUCAUUGGAUCAUAAUUGGAGUCUUUGCUGGAUGUGCUGCACUUGCAAUCAUUACAGUCUCUGCAGCUUUAAUCAGUUGGCAGUGCUUGAAGAGCAUCAAGUGGACAACCACCAAAAGACAAAGCAGGUAAACGACACACCUGGACGUCCACGUGAUGAAGAAGGAAACUCCUCAGAGCAGGACACCUUCUUCCAUCUGUCCAUGGUCCAGCUGUGAUGCUGUAGCAGCUUCCAGUGGUGGACAGGAGUCAGCAUGGACUCAAUCUGAGAUGUUCUGAGAUGUUCUGAUCAGCAGCUUGGAGGUUUUCAGCAGCUCUUCUGUGGGAUCAGACCUCCUGCAUGAGGGAUCCUCUGGUGUCCACGUCUCUGGUUCUCCGGUUCUCCUUCUCUGGACACUUUUAAUAACCGCUGUAGAACUCUUGCUGUUCUGGAGAUGUUCUGAUCCAGUUUGUUAAAGUCUCUCAGAUCUUCCAAUGAACCAACUUCCAGAACUGAGCCUUUAUGAGGAGAUGAUCAUUGAGCUGGUUUAAUGUUAAUGUUUUUAAACUCAGGGCAGAUUCCAUUUGUUUUAGAUUCUUCAUCUGUUUCGUUUUUCAUUUUUAUUAAAAGGUAAUUCAGUAAAAUUAUCAGUAUUCUCUCAUAUUUUUUGUAUAUCAGAAUCCUAGAGGAUCAUUAGAAGUUGGUGAGGAGGUUGAAGAAUCCAACAUGACAACAAUAAAAGAACUAGAGAAGCUGAAACUUCUCCAACAUUUCUGGGUGAGUUCAUCUCAUUUUCACAUCAGGAGGAGUUGGGCGUCGUCACAGCUGCAAACCAAGAAUUACGUCAGUAAUGUUUCAGACUGCUGUAAAUCUGGGUGUUUCUCGUAUAAAAUGUGGGUUAAAACUAAACGUCAUCCUGAAACCUUCAGUUUGAUUCCAUCUGAUUCAGAAGCUGCUCGUCUUUUCAACUUUAGGGACCAGGAAUGCAAACAAUCAUCUUUUCUACAAUCUGGUGAAUCUUUAAGCACCACUUUGUUCCUUUUCUGCUUCAAGUUAUGAUGGAAAAGCUUCUUAUUUAUGCAGCUUAUCUCUGCAGAAUUCACAUAAUUUAAACACAAGUUCUCAUCUUUAUUCUGGUUUUUCACUGUGGAGGACAAAUGCAUUCAAUAUUUGUACCAAAAUCAGUAAAGUUUGGACGAUAUAUGGAGAAUAACAAGUGAAAAGUACACUUGUUUUAACCUUUAUGGUUGCUCAGUAGUCUGAUGUGCACAUUUAAAAUAAAUCUGUCUGAAAUAAA